Molecule: non-coding RNA, 1492 nt
Organism: Latescibacteria bacterium DG_63
Lineage: Bacteria; Pseudomonadati; Candidatus Latescibacterota
Source: Rfam
UUCAAGGAGGGUUUGAUCCUGGCUCCGGACUAACGCUGGCGGCGUGUCUUAGACAUGCAAGCCGAACGGGUCAGUGAGCUUCAAAGUCGGGGAGCUUGCUUUCUGGCUUUGUGCUUACUGACUAGUGGCGAAAGGGUGAGUAACACGUGAGAAUCUACCGCUGGGAAGGGGAUAAUUCAGAGAAAUCUGAAACAAUACCCUAUGAUGUCUCGGUGCUUGCAUCGAGAUCAAAGGUGACUUCGGUUAUGCCCAACGAUGAGCUCGCGUUCUAUCAGCUUGUUACGGGCCAGACUCCUACGGGAGGCAGCAGUCUAGAAAUUUGCGCAAUGGGUGAAAGCCUGACGCAGCGACGCCGCGUGGGGGAUGAAGGCCUUCGGGUUGUAAACCCCUGUCAGGGAGGACGAUGUCCCGAGCAAUCGGGAUGACGGUACUCCCAGAGGAAGCUCCGGCUAACUCCGUGCCAGCAGCCGCGGUAAGACGGAGGGAGCAAGCGUUGUCCAAAAUUACUGGGCGUAAAGGGGAUGUAGGUGUCUCGGUAAGUUGGAUGUGAAAGCCCUCUGCUCAACGGAGGAAUUGCAUUCAAAACUGUCGAGAUUGAGCACGGGAGAGGAGAGCGGAACUCUCAGUGUAGCGGUGGAAUGCGUUGAUAUUGAGAGGAACACCGAUUGCGAAGGCAGCUCUCUGGACCGUUGCUGACACUGAGGUCCGAAAGCUGAGGGAGCAAACAGGAUUAGAUACCCUGGUAGUCUCAGCUGUAAACGAUGGACACUAGGUGUGGGGCUUUGGCUCCGUGCCACAGUUAACACAUUAAGUGUCCCGCCUGGGGAGUACGCUCGCAAGGGUGAAACUCAAAGGAAUUGACGGGGCCCCGCACAAGCGGUGGAGGAUGUGGUUCAAUUCGAUGCAACGCGAAGAACCUUACCUGGGCUUGACAUGUUGGUAGUAGUGACCUGAAAGGGAAGCGAGCCCGAUUUAUCGGGAAGCCAACACAGGUGCUGCAUGGCUGUCGUCAGCUCGUGCCGUGAGGUGUUGGGUUAAGUCCCGCAACGAGCGCAACCCCUUUCCUUAGUUGCCAUCAGGUCAUGCUGGGAACUCUAAGGAGACUGCCGCAGAAAAUGCGGAGGAAGGUGGGGACGACGUCAAGUCAUCAUGGCCCUUACGUCCAGGGCUACACACGUCCUACAAUGGGCAGUACAGCGGGUCGCAACACCGCGAGGUGAAGCUAAUCCCUGAAAGCUGUCCUCAGUUCGGAUUGCAGUCUGCAAUUUGGCUGCAUGAAGGCGGAAUCGCUAGUAAUCGCGGAUCAGAAUGCCGCGGUGAAUACGUUCUCGGGGCUUGUACACACCGCCUGUCACGUCAUGGAAGCCGGUAAUACCCUAAACCACUGACCCAACCCCUUAUGGGGAGGGAGGUGUCCAAGGUAGGAUCGGUGACUGGGACGAAGUCAUAACAAGGUAGCCGUACGGGAACGUGCGGCUGGAUCACCUCCUUU